AACGAACGCUGGCGGCAUGCCUAACACAUGCAAGUCGAACGAGACCUUCGGGUCUAGUGGCGCACGGGUGCGUAACGCGUGGGAACCUGCCCUUAGGUUCGGAAUAACUCCCUAAAGGGGUGCUAAUACCGGAUAAUGUCUUCGGACCAAAGAUUUAUCGCCUUUGGAUGGGCCCGCGUUGGAUUAGCUAGUUGGUAGGGUAAAAGCCUACCAAGGCGACGAUCCAUAGCUGGUCUGAGAGGAUGAUCAGCCACACUGGGACUGAGACACGGCCCAGACUCCUACGGGAGGCAGCAGUGGGGAAUAUUGGACAAUGGGCGAAAGCCUGAUCCAGCAAUGCCGCGUGAGUGAUGAAGGCCUUAGGGUUGUAAAGCUCUUUUACCCGGGAUGAUAAUGACAGUACCGGGAGAAUAAGCUCCGGCUAACUCCGUG
RNAcentral lists this ribosomal RNA (432 nucleotides) under uncultured bacterium. RNAcentral's name for it is "partial 16S ribosomal RNA". It matches the Rfam family "Bacterial small subunit ribosomal RNA", at positions 29 to 507 of the family's 1533-position model. The record is from RNAcentral.